CCCAAUCCACAUGACCAAGACCGGAGGGACUCCAACCGCGCUCUUCCUCGGAGGCACCUACGGUACGGCCGGUCGCCCGCAUCAUGGGCGACGGGAGGAACUCCAGCCGCGCUAUUCAUCGUCAGAGGAGUCGCCGGGGAGGCGGAUUAGGCACGGCCUGAGCGCUGCUGGGCCCCAAGUUCUCUCACGGGCAGUGCGGUUGGUCGACGGCGGGCUGCGGCUGCUCGACACUGUGAAGGUGGAGGCCACGAGGCGCCGGCGAGUGCUAGUGUGCGGCGAGGGCGCCGCGGCAGCUCGGGGCCGGGCGAGGCCUGGCGCGCAGGGGCCCGGCCACGGGUGUGGCGCGGGCGCAGCCGGGCGGCGGGGGCGCUUGGCGCGACUGCAUCAACAUCGACGACUGCGACAUCGGAGGAGCCGCUCAUGACGCGCAUGCCGAAGGGCGACCCUGUAGAGGGCCGGCGCCACCGAUCUGCGCGGAUCCGCGUUUCCGUCGCGGGACGCGAAGCCGGUGGUUUCGGUCGCUCAGUCGAGUGCAGGGUCGAGGCUAGACGCUGAUGGGAAGAUGGCGAUGAGCGCUACCACCAGUCCAGCGAAGAUGGAAUCGCCCUUGAAGAGUUAAUUAGAGAUCGAGAGAUUCAUGUCGUUGCUCUGCAUGAUGCAAGGCUGCCGCUUGGAAGCGUUUCCGCCGGGCUGAGGUCGUCCAAUAAACGAGUGGCACACAGAUGGAUUCACUCCGCCGGGAGCGUGCUGGUAACGUGUUGAAAGAGAGACGAUCGAGAGAUACCACAAAUGAUUCAACUGCGUAUUAUUUAUUGAUGAUUGAAGCUUAUAUACAAUGGAACGGUUGCCUCCGAGGGAGGCGACGGUUCGCUGAA
This is a long non-coding RNA of Triticum urartu, 875 nucleotides long. RefSeq lists it as uncharacterized. The record is from RefSeq and is a predicted model, not a curated record. Lineage: Eukaryota; Viridiplantae; Streptophyta; Magnoliopsida; Poales; Poaceae.